AAAUAUGCUUUGAUAAGAAGAGUAAUAAAGAAUUCUUUUUUUAGAGAAAUAAUCAUUAGGUGAAAGAUUAUUAAAAGGACUUUAUGAAAAUCACCUUUGAGCAUAAUACCUAAAAUUCAGGGUAUUACGGAAAAGAAACCGUUAUUUCUAGUAAGUGACAAAAAAUAUAUUGUUUUUUGUAAUUUGGGUGGUACCACGGAAAGAUUCGUCCCUUAA
This 216-nucleotide non-coding RNA is filed under the name Tissierella creatinophila. RNAcentral describes it as "T-box sequence". It matches the Rfam family "T-box leader". From Rfam's summary of the family: Uncharged tRNA acts as the effector for transcription antitermination of genes in the T-box leader family. T-boxes are found upstream of many aminoacyl-tRNA synthetase genes and some amino acid biosynthetic genes usually in Gram-positive bacteria. Lineage: Bacteria; Bacillati; Bacillota; Tissierellia; Tissierellales; Tissierellaceae. The record is from RNAcentral.